This 324-nucleotide unclassified non-coding RNA is filed under the name soil metagenome. RNAcentral describes it as "partial contains 5.8S ribosomal RNA, internal transcribed spacer 2, and large subunit ribosomal RNA". The stretch from base 1 to 120 matches the Rfam family "5.8S ribosomal RNA", at positions 35 to 154 of the family's 154-position model. The record is from RNAcentral.
GAUGAAGAACGUAGCGAAAUGCGAUAAGUAAUGCGAAUUGCAGAAUUCAGUGAGUCAUAGAAUCUUUGAACGCACAUUGCGCCCUGUGGUAUUCCGCAGGGCAUGCCUGUUCGAGCGUCAUUUCAACCCUCAAGCCCCGCUUGGUGUUGGGCCCCGCCCGCUGUGGCCGGCCCUAAAGACAAUGGCGGCGCCGCCUGGCCCUCAGCGUAGUACAUCUCUCGCUCCAGGGUCCGGUGGCCGCCUGCCAGAACCCCCCAACUCUGUGGUUGACCUCGGAUCAGGUAGGGAUACCCGCUGAACUUAAGCAUAUCAAUAAGCGGAGGA